This 2177-nucleotide long non-coding RNA is filed under the name Numida meleagris (helmeted guineafowl). RNAcentral's name for it is "lncRNA (ENSNMEG00000008384.1)". Lineage: Eukaryota; Metazoa; Chordata; Aves; Galliformes; Numididae. The record is from RNAcentral.
CGUUCUCUUCACGACCACAGUGGCAAAAAACAGUUUGAAGGGCAUGGGCCAAUGCGUGACGAAGACAGUCUCCCAUGUGUGGUCCUUGGCAGCACUGGAACACCCAGUGUGCACCACCACUGCUCUGCAGAAAGUCAGUGAAGGCACAGAACCCUCUGCUGCAUGCCUGACACAAAACACAAGCACUGUGGUGGGGCCCGCCUGGGCUUGGGCCACCUUGGUGAUAGGCACAGCACCCCACUGGCAAACACUGAAGUCCCUGCAGAGUCGUGUGCUGGAGUGGAGAGGCCGUGUCUGUGCCCGUGAGGACAGGCAGCCCAAUGGACUUGGCCCACCAGAAGAUGGAGCGGAGGCCAGAGGAACCCCUUGGACUAUAAGCUACCUGGAUCAGGUGGAAUUCCUGAAGCAGGAGGUGGAGAUCUCCAAGGGGAGCAGUUUUGCCUUCCUGCCUUGGCUUUUGCUUCCAAGGGACUGCAUUCUCCUCUUACACAGUGCCACAGGAGCUGGCAGUUAAGGACAGUGCAGGAAGGAAACCAUCCUGCCCUCCCACACAUCCUGAAUGCCAUAUUCAGACAUACAGGCAGCAUAUUUGCACUUUUUCUUCCUUGUUACCAAACAUAAACUGUUGCAGAGCUGGGGAAAUGCAGACUGGAUGUGUCAGAGCAUGCGGUCCAUGCUGAGGAAUGGGGAAGGGUUCUCCUUCAGCAAAGCCUGAGGGAAGAGACCUAGGAAAGCACUGUGCUCCAGAGGUCACUUGGGAAGGAGUUUGCUCCAUUUUUCUUCCAAAUCGAAGGAGCAAAAUCAGUACAGUCCUGCUGAAGUUUAGCUCUCAAAUGUCAGAAUUUCCCCAGGCUCUCUGUGGACCAAGGUGAACUCACAGAAGGAUAGUGUAUCCCAAACAGAAACCUGUGUGCUCUGGUCACUGUGGCCAGCCAACCACCCCAGUGGUCAGGCUCCCAGGGCUGCUCAGGGAGAUGGACAUUCCUUUUUCAGCCCUGCUCUUCCCUCUCUGUCCUCCAGAACUGAUGGAGUCCUUCAGAGGGGAGAGGUUUUACAUGCCAUUUCUGUGCAAGGGAAGGGGAUGAACCACGUAAAAUGAGGGCACCUCCUGCACAGAUCCAGACAGAGGCCACGCAGCAUGCAUCCACACCAGCACAGGGGCUCAUCCCCAGCACUGCUUCCCUUCCUGCAGCCCAAUUGAGAGAAGGCACAUGGCUUUGGAAGUUCAGAUCCUGCCCGUAUCUCUUCAUCUCAUUUCAACUUGGGCUGUAGUCCACCUUAACUACCUCCCUUAAGCCUCUUAAUCUUUCUAUCCAUCUACUAUUUUCCCUUCAUUUAGUUUUGUGCUGCUAUUAUAGUAUGCAGUUCUGGACACUGCUUUAGUUUACACUUUUUUUUAGAAAAGAUGUUGCUUGCAAAAAGACUGUGUUGUAUCUCCAUUUAAAUCUCUUUCCUGUUAACCAGCUAUUUAAGGACACAUGGGUAAGCUUCAGAGCAUUCAACAGAAAAUUAUUCUGAAAAGGGAUCAUGCAUUCAGAGGGAAAAAAAAGGAUACAGAAAAAUAACUCAUGAGCUUUGUAAAACAUACUGGCUCUCCUGGCACUGGGAGAGAAAUUCUUUGUUAACGUUUUGAUUUGCUGUGGCACAGAGCCAACGUUUCAGUUACAAUAUAAAAAGCACCCAAAAAUUACCAACAUCUCCUUUCUUCUGCCUUCAAAGUUUUAUUAAAUACUCAGAAGUAUUUUAAAAGGUCGGUUACCCAUUUUGCUGCUAUCAGGGGAUUACUCUAACAUGAAGUGUUUGUCUCCUGUUGUGAGUAGUGAAAAUCCCCCUGUAUCCAGCGUGUUUUGUUUGGAUUGAGAUGGCAUGCAGCUGAUGGCUGUGACCUUCAUGGUGGCUUAGAUCCCUGGCUGGCACUGAUUUUUGAUUUAGUGCCGAUCUGCUGCGCUUGUCACAGGCUGCAAGGUGCUUUCCAUGCACUAAUGGAACAGCUCAAGGGCAGAGGGGCCCUGUAAAUGUCUAUCUUUCACCAACACUGUGCUAAAUAGAGAGCUGAGUUUUCUACAUGUGAAUGACAGACCCUGAGAUUAUAUACAGUAGAGAACUGGGAGUUCUUCCGCCUGAGCUGAUGCUUGGCGGUAAAUAAAUGUCACUGUAAAAUGGGAAGUUUUUAUUAU